RNAcentral lists this transfer RNA (72 nucleotides) under Camelus bactrianus (Bactrian camel). It matches the Rfam family "tRNA". Rfam says of the family: Transfer RNA (tRNA) molecules are approximately 80 nucleotides in length. Their secondary structure includes four short double-helical elements and three loops (D, anti-codon, and T loops). The record is from Rfam by way of RNAcentral. RNAcentral also lists the same sequence under 1 other name. Lineage: Eukaryota; Metazoa; Chordata; Mammalia; Artiodactyla; Camelidae.
GAGGGUAUAGCUCAGCGGCAGAGUGCAUGCUUAGCAUGCGUGAGGUCCUGGGUUCAAGCCCCAGUGCCUCCU